GGUUCUUUGCAGCCUUGUUUCAGAUUAUCAGGACGGCUACUAGUGGUGGGAUGGCUUAAUAUCGAGCUAAAAACAAGACUAUCAUUAUCAGAGAUUUAUUAUCCAUGUGUUUGGGAGGCAAUAUCAUAUCUGUACCCUGUAGCAAACUUCGACCCUGAUGAUGUUAUGUAGAGAUUUAAAUCUUGUGCAGUCGUGUUUACCUCCUGUUACCAAGAACCUAGUCUAAACUUGAAACUAAAUGGUGCAAGUUGAAACUUUAAAAUUAUAUAAAACUUCAAAUAUCCAAGGUAAUAAUUUGUUUUCUUUCUUUGUGAUGACACUUAUACAAUGUUCAAAAUAUAUCGGCGGGGUGUUGAGUAGAGAUUAAUCGGUGAAUUGGUCAUUUAACCGAAUUUGUCGGUAACCCAUUUAUGGAAGGUCGACUAGGGUAAUAUAUGUAUGUCCUAGGCUAUAUAGCAGCAUGUAAUGUACUCCCUCCGUUUUUAUUUACUUUGCAUAUUAGAGUUGACGAAGUCAAACUUUAUAAAGUUUGACCAAAUUUAUAGAGAAGAAUAUAAAUAAUUAGCAUAACAAAUCUAUAUGAUGUGGAUUCAUAAGGGGCCUUUAUUUUAUUAGUGUCUACACCUCCCCAAUCCAAGCUCAUCACUCUACUCUAGUGUCUGCGUGCUAAAGUAGUUCCUAUCACACCUCAACUAUGGCUUGUAGCAUCUAGGCACAUGAGACAAUUAUCUCUAAGAAACUCGGCAAAAUACUCAACUUUGAGAGAAGAGAGCCCACCUCAUAAAAGGGAGUUUUUUAAGGGUAAAUCAAACUUUUUAUAUUUCCUCCGUCCAAAAAUAAGUAUUUCAAUUUUAGUAUAACUUUUUUUAUACUCCCUCUGUCUUAAAAUAAGUGUUUCAAUCUUAGUAGUUGUACUAAAGGUUGAGACAUUUAUUUUGGGAUGGAGACGUUCGGAGUGCAGGAUACACUCUGUAUGCCACACCUCACACCGUGUGUCACCAACACCUACUUUAGCCAAUACAUGCGCAACUCGAUUAGCCGUUCUCCUCGUCCAGGUGAUCUUCACAUCUUGCCGAUCUUGAAGUAACGUCUUGAUCUCCUGUAAUACUAGGCCGACGGCUGAUAAAUUCUUCCCCGGUUCAUUCACCAUGCGCACUACCGCCAAACCAUCCGUCUCGAGAUGGAGCUUCUGGAUCCCCAGUUCCGCUGCAACCUGGAUUGGACGUUUGCAAGCCAGAAUCUCAGAAAGUUUUAGGUUAGUGAUCGCAGGGAAGUGUUGACACACUGCACCUCUGAAGGCUUCUUGAUGGUCCCAGAACACCACUCCAUCUUCUCCCUUGUUGCCCACUUUUGAUACAGCAUCAUCAACAUUGCCCUUUACCAAGCCCCUCUCCGGCGGCUUCCACUUCUCGACCAAUGUCGGUUUGGUAGCCUUUGUUUGUUUCUCUUGUACUGUGUGCCUCUUGUAGUUAGAGCAAGUAUAAUAAGUUGAUGUAGGCGGGUUGUAAGAUUUUAAAUAAUAUAUUUUGGCUGAAUUGGAUGAGAGCGAAAAGGCAAGAGAGGAGAAGCGGGCUAUAAACUUACAGCCGGCUGUAGCACGAGCUCCAACACUCUUUAUAGAGAAACAUGUAGGCCAUAUAUUAAUAAUAUAACAUACUAAUAUGACUAACUAUUGUAUGAGCGAGCUAUAAGGUUGACUAUAAGUGACAUGAAAAAUUCAUAUGCCCACCAUUGGCUAUACUAUUAACCAUGCUCUUAUAGCUGAUCACCGAAGCGGCCACAGUACGCACGUCAGCAAUUCUUUUCCCGUCCCUUGCCUCAUUUCUUGCCAACCGAAGUCCAUACAAACUCUGAACCAUAAUGGAUUUCUCCUCGUCUCUGGCUUCAGCAAACCACUCUAGCAGCCACCCUGAUAGUGCACUUUGCGAGCGCAUGUUAACCGGCGGGACCGCCACCGGAACCCCCCUUCUCUGAGUGCAUGAUCUUCAAAAACUUCAUGGAUUGUGGGCAUGUCCAGAAUCUGUGAUGGAUGGAUUCUUGUAUCCCACAAGCAACACAAAAAACACCUUCUUUUAUACUUCGUCGGUGUAGCUCACUUCCGGGAGAUGGUGUGCAAUUAUUUUGNNNNNNNNNNNNNNNNNNNNNNNNNNNNNNNNNNNNNNNNNNNNNNNNNNNNNNNNNNNNNNNNNNNNNNNNNNNNNNNNNNNNNNNNNNNNNNNNNNNNNNNNNNNNNNNNNNNNNNNNNNNNNNNNNNNNNNNNNNNNNNNNNNNNNNNNNNNNNNNNNNNNNNNNNNNNNNNNNNNNNNNNNNNNNNNNNNNNNNNNNNNNNNNNNNNNNNNNNNNNNNNNNNNNNNNNNNNNNNNNNNNNNNNNNNNNNNNNNNNNNNNNNNNNNNNNNNNNNNNNNNNNNNNNNNNNNNNNNNNNNNNNNNNNNNNNNNNNNNNNNNNNNNNNNNNNNNNNNNNNNNNNNNNNNNNNNNNNNNNNNNNNNNNNNNNNNNNNNNNNNNNNNNNNNNNNNNNNNNNNNNNNNNNNNNNNNNNNNNNNNNNNNNNNNGACAGCCUGCCCCGUGUGGCUCCGGCCAGCCUCGCCCCGCCACCGUUGGCCGCCCCCAACUCGCCCGCGCCCCUCGCCCUCUCCGCCCCACGUCCCCGCACCCCCGAGAUCCCAUCUGGUGCCUCUGAGGUGCCCUUCUCCAGCUGCUGCAUGGACUUGUCGGUGAUGGAUCUGGCGCUCCUGGCCGUUGCCAUGGGCGCCUCCUGCAGCCUCCCCACUCCCCCGGUGGCGCAACCCAGCCUUGCUGGUUCUGCUGCCAGCCGUGGGCGGGGCAUGGGACCUGCGUCUGGAGGUGGCGGCGUUCGCGGCCUGCCUUUCAUGCAGGCACCCCUCUCGUCUCCGACGGCCCUCCCUUCCCUCGAGCCAUGGUGACAACUCUCAUGUGGAGGCAGCAAUGCUUCUGUGGUGUGGCAGACACGGGGCUCCUCAUGGUGGAUCAUUGCUGACGUUGUUCCGGCCCCGGCGGCCUCCGGACCGCGUCUUUCCGGUGUCUCGUGCUGCCGGCGUCCUGCCGGGCAGCCCCGGCCUCGGCGACCGUGUAGCUGCGUCCCUCCAGCUUACCCGGCUCGUCGAUGUCCCGAUGGCUAAGGCCACGGCAGCACGGAUCUGCGUCCUUCCAGCCCUUGCUUGCCGGCGGUGAUGGACGCCGCCGCCCCAGACCCACUCGUGUGGUUCGCUUCAUCGCCUGCCCCGCCCCGUAUGCCUCAAAGCCUCCUCCUUUCGCCAGAUCUAGUGCUCGUGGGUUCGGGGGCAGUGCCACCCUCCGACGGCAAGUGUAGCCCCACCAACCCCCUCCCAACAUGGUGGUUCCGACCAACUUUGGCUUCCUCAUCUUCGAUUCCAGACUCGACGACUAUGGGAUUGCUCUGUUCAGGCCAGGGAGAGAUCCCUGCUCGGCUUGCUGAUACUGACAGCGGCGGCGCCCGUGGGUGUUGUUUUCUUUUUGGAGACGUUGCCAAGGCCUUCAGCUGCACCCCUCUUCGAGAUCAGGGGAAACCCCAGGUCCGAACCUCAGGUCCGGCUCCCCCGGACCGGAUAGCGACAGCGUCCAUUCCUUCUUCAAGGCGCUAUCUUGCGAGCUCGUGGUGUCCCCAGUUUUGGCUAGGACGAUGUUGGAAUUCUUGUUGGCUGGCAUUGCCGUACUUGGUUCGGGUCUGGUAGGUCUAGCUGUGAUGUUUCUUAUGUUCGGGCCGAGCAUCCCCUUCUCUCUGCUCCAGGCACCAUGUUCACACCUGCUUGCGUCCGUGUUAUGUGUUGUACCCCCGUUGUACUCAUUCUACUCCUUCUAUCAACGAAAUGAUAAGCAAGCUUUGCCUAUUCCCGAAAAAAAAAGGUAUAGCUCACUUCCAAUGAGAAGGCCAUCCUUCAUGAGCCUCCAUACAUGGAUUUUUGCCUUGUUUGGAGCACAGGAGGCCCAUAGUGAAAGGCGGUUCCGGCCGUCCGGACCUUGUUUUGUUCACGCUCAUUUUCAGGUGAUAAGCGGAUCGUACUGUGAACUGACCAUUCCUAGUAAAGUUCUAAGCUAUGUACAAAGGGUGGCUCUGGAGGCACAUACUGAGCCUGCUGAGGCGCGAAGAAGGAAUGUCUUUCGGCUAGAAGAUGGUGGAGGGCAAGAGGAGGUUGCUACGAAUGUGUAUGAUGCAAUGGCGGAAGAUGCUGAAGAGGAGUCCAAUGCUUGAUUCAGUUUAACAGUAGCAUGUAUUGUGUGCACCUGCGUGUGCCUUUUGCUGCGAGAUGUAGGGGUGGUGAAUUGCUAUGCGUGGGGUUCCUUCACAUGGCGAUACUUUGUUCUCCCGUUGGGGUGUAGACAUUUCCCUUUUGGGUCUUCGUUCACAUGGCGAUAUUUUGGUAGCACCUACCUUUUUUUUUUUGACCUGCAGCACCUACGGAUGGUGGCAGGGGACAUGGCUAAAAAAAGGUAAGACAGGUAAACGAAGUGAAAAAACAGAUUUCUCUACUUUACCGUGUGAUUCGUAGGGGCUAUUCAUAGGAGUUGAGAUGCGAUAUCCCGGCAAAAAUCGGUAAACUAAGCUAAUCCAAGCUCCUUGGACGCGCGCGCUCUGUCCCGAUGGACGAGACCGGUUCAUCCCCCCCGCUGCACGUCGUUAUCUGCCCGUGGCUCGCCUUCGGCCACCUGCUCCCCUGCCUGGACCUCGCCGAGCGCCUGGCGUCGCGGGGCCACCGUGUUUCGCUCGUCUCUGCGCCGCGAAACAUCGCGCGGCUCCCGCCUGUGCGCCCAGCUGUGGCGCCGUUCGUCGGCCUCGUGGCACUGCCGUUCCCGCGCGUGGCCGGGCUCCCCGACGGCGCCGAGUCCACCAACGACCUCCCCUUCGACAAGUUCGAGCUCCAUCGCAAGGCGGCCGACGGCCUCACCGCGCCCUUCUCCGAUUACUUGGAGUCCCUAUGCGCCGAGCCCGGCGGAAGGAAGCCCGAUUGGAUCAUCGUGGACUACUUCAACGACUGGGCGGCCGCCGCCGCCAUCCAACACAAGGUUCCAUGUGCGAUGCUUGCCCUACUCGCUGCGACUGUCGUCGCCACCUUGGACAUUCUACUGUCCGAGCGCACCGCGUCCCGAUCGGCAGGAGCGCCAAGGUUCGCGACGGAGAAGACGGGGCUAAUGUCUCUACAAUGCAAAUGGGGGAUGUCCAUCGCCGAGCAGGUCUCCUCGACGCUCCAGAGGUGCAAACUCGUUGCCAUGCGGAGCUGCAGUGAGUGGGAGCCCGAGAGCGUCGCUCAUGCCGCGACGUUCGGCGGCAAGCCGGUUGUCCCCUUCGGCCUCCUGCCGCCGUCGCCUGACGGAGGUCGCCGCGGCGACAGCGGCAAGGACGAUACGGCCGUGCGAUGGCUCGAUGCGCAGCUGGCCAAGUCGGUUGUGUACGUCGCGCUCGGAAGCGAGGUGCCGCUGCGCCCGGAGGAGGUGCGCGAGCUCGCCCUCGGGCUUCAGCUCGCCGGGACGCGCUUCCUCUGGGCUCUGAGGAAGCCACCGGGCGUCGACGCCGACGUGCUCCUCCCUCAGGGGUUCGAGGAGUGCACGCGCGGCCGUGGCCUCGUGAUAACGGGCUGGGUUCCUCAGCUCGGGAUACUGGCGCACGACGCCGUGGCUGCGUUCCUGACGCACUGCGGCUUGAGCUCCACCAUCGAGGGGCUCCUGUUCGGGCGUCCUCUCGUCAUGCUGCCCAUAAUGGGGGACCAAGUGCCGAAUGCAAGGCUGAUGGAGUGUAGGAAGGUCGGCGUGCUGGUGCCGAGAAACGAGAAGGACUGUUCGUUUGACCGAGAAGGCGUCGCGACGGCGAUUCGGGCUGUGGCGGUAGAGGAAGAAGGUAGGAGAGUGUUUACAGCCAACGCCAAGAAGCUGCAAGAGGUCGUGUCGGACACGGAGUGCCAUGAGAGGUAUAUUGACCGGUUUAUUCAGCAGCUUAGAUGUUACAAGUAGUGAAGUGAAGCGUACGUCUUGAUGUUACCUGGAGUCCUGGACUUGGAACAUGCAGUAGAACAAGCUUCUGUAUAUUGGGAUGAGUCGAAAUUGAAACGAGCCUCAGUUUCAAAUCAUGCAUACCCGUGAUUUCUUUGUGAUCUUCACUCAUUGCAGUUUGCAGAGUGUACCACUUUGCUAUGCUCCCCGCAUAGGUUUUUUUUUUCUUUACUUGACUAACUUUCCGAACGCUUCAUUUCUUCCUUUCUAAUUAAUCACACAUCUAAUUCCUCUUUUGCUUACUAGCUAAUUGCAGAGUGAAGUCUAUUUUAAACCCUAACAUUGUAGAGCGCGACGUAAACAAACCCUCACGUCUAAAUCCUUGAAAUCGAUACCCUCUACUCAUCGAUCCCGGCCGAUUUAGACCCUGGAUCCGUUUGGCGUACCGGGAAAUAAAUGAUCCUGGCCAGGAUCUACCUUUACUCUCGCUGACUAGGUUGGCCCACUUGUCAUAUGUAUCCUCUGUCCCAAUCUUUCAGAUGUGUGUUCGGAUGGAGGCGGAGACGGCGCCGUCUCGCGCCCAAGGCGGAGACUGGCCGCUGGUGCACAAGCGGCAGUGGACAGCCGUCUUCAUUACCACAGAAACGGUGGGGCGGCCUGCACGUCCGGCGCGGCAAAGCAGAUGGGGGCGACGCGGACGGAGGAGCAACUUGGCGACCGGUGAGAGCACGUCCGCGCCGGACAGGCCGUGCCCCUCGAGCACCAUCCGCGUCACGCGCCCCAAGCUCAGGUCAUCCCGCGCCACGCAGUUGUUUCCCCGCUGCACGGGGACGAGCUGACGGACAGGUUCCCCUCACGAGCGCGACGGAGCGGUCAGUGGCGAGCCGAAAGCUCACAAGCGCCGCGGCGGAGCGGUCAGCGGCGAGCCGAAAGUCCACGAGCGCCGCGACGUCGCCGUCCAGCGAGCAUACAUUAGUAUGGCAUACGAGUAACAAUAGCAUGAUGGAGAACAGCGACGUAGCGCUGUUUCUGCGUGAGGCGAGGCAGAGGCCGGACCUUGAACGUGGUUGGUGCCAUGAAGUUAUUCGUUCUGCCCAAAUUCACAGCAGUUUAUGCCUUCUUUUGGUUUAGAUGAGGCGCCUACGCUGGCCGCAUGCGUGUGUGUGUUCAAUUGCUCACCGGGCCGCCGGUGUGCGUGUGUGUGUAGCUCGUUGCGAGGGCUCGCUACAUGUAUACGACACAUGUGGGCAAUUGAUCUGAAGCUCUGUCGCUCAAUGGCUCGCGAGUCCAUGCCGCCAUGGCGGACAUGGACGCGCGCGGACGGGGGAGCUGGUUUCGGGAAAAUGGCAGUGGGCCAAGACGAGCAGCACUCUGACGAGAGAAAGAGAGGGGCGGAGAGGAGAAAUGAUUUUUUUUCUUUUACAACAAAGAAAAAGAUUGUUGAAGAAGGUUAUGAUAUGUAGGCCCGUAUGGUCAGUGAGAGAAACAAGCUAUCCCGGUCGGGAUUGUCCUGCCAAACAGGUGUAGGGUUGGUUUAGGGUUACAAUUGGCUAGGAUCGAUGAGUACAGGGUAUGGACUUCAGGGAUUUCAACGUGAGGAUUCGUUUACGUCGCGCUCUACGACCACAGGGUUCAAAACAGACUUCACUCCUAAUUGCAUCCUUCGCCCGUACAUGCCGCAUUUUAUUGUAUAGAUCGGAUCAGUUUCUCCAUGUAGUUUCCCCCCCUAGGCAGCUAGGGUUCCCCUCUUUUCCCCUGGCGGCAACCGCUAGGGUUCCCGAACUACCUUGCUAUCCCACACAAAUCUCACGACCAAAUUGGGAUCUCCUGAUCUGGCUGUGAUUCAUGACUGUCUUUGAGCGAUUGGGUGAGUCUGCAUGGCUGGAAUGGAAGGAGCAAAGGCGCCGGCGGGAGGCGCAUCUGGUAGUGGAGCUGGGGAGGGCGCCCGUGGCCCGGAUCCAAGCUUAGAGGAUAGAUUUCAGGGUCUGAAUCUUCACGGAGAGGAGGAGGACGAGUUGGAUUUGUCAGGUGAGAUCGAUGAAUUGAUUGAAGAGACGAGGUGGAUUGCUAUUUUUAGGGUUCAUACACAAUGACCCUUUAGCCAUGUUGCCCUGUACAAAGCGAUGAGGAAUGCUUGGACGCCAGCACAGGGAGUGAUCUUCAAGGCAAUGAAACCAAACUUGUUCCUGGGUCAGUUCAUGUGUCUUGGCGAUUGGAAUCGCGUGAUGAACGGAGGGCCUUGGUUAUUUCGGAACGCAACAGUUCCUAUGGAGGAGUACGAUGGUCUGACAAACGUUGAGGAGUACAAGCUGGAUCGCAUCCCAGCGUGGGCACGUACCAUAGGCAUCCCUGAGGGGCUUAUGAAGAAGAAGGAGAUUGCUGAGAAGAUAGCAAGAAAAGUUGGAAUACCUCAUGUUAAGGUCAUUGUCAAUGAAGGUCGAAUCAAUCCUACAAAGUAAUUGAGAGCUCGUGUUCACUUGAAGCUUGAUACCCCUCUUGUGCAUUUUGUGCCUUUAACCCUGAAGGAAUACAAGAGGUACCCGGUGGAGUAUGAAACACUUCCGAAUUUCUGUGGUCUGAUGGGGCAUGUGGUAACUGAGUGCGGGGAUGGAAUACACAAAAAAGAGGAUUGUGAAUGGGGUAACUGGUUACUAGUCAAGUUCGAUGAGCCAUCAGGCAGAGGAAGGGGACAGUCGGGGCCGGGUGGCCGGUCAGGCAGAGGAAGAGGCUUUGGAAGAGGAGAAGGGAACCUGGGGGACCUAAACCGUCAAGAAAGAAACAGUAUGGAGGUUGACCCCGAGUCUACUCGUAAUGGUGGAGCACUAGUACCCCUAGCCAGGAAGAGGCUGAUUGGACAUGAUGGGAAUGUGAUCAAUUAUGAUACAGGUGUUAACCAGGUGGCAGCAGGGGUAAACCCUCCACCAGGUUUUGUCAGUGAAAAGGUUGAGUUGCUGGAAAAAUAGCUAAUGAACCAGUAGACAAGACUCAGCUCAGCACCCCACAAAAGAUUCACGAUCAGACGAGGUUUAAGGCUAUGUCAGAUGAUGUUAAUGCAUCCUCAAGUACAUCGGCGACUCCCCUCGAGGGUGUUCGCCGGGAGCAAUGAAAAUCCUAUGCUGGAACUGUCGUGGUAUGGCUAGUACCGCGAUAGAAAGAGCGCUUCUGGAGGUCCAGAAGCAAUGGGGGCCGGAUGUGUUUUUCUUGUCCGAAACACAUUUGAAUACUGUUAGGGCAGAGAAAUUAAGGAAAAAAUAAAGAUGGACAGAGUGGAGGUGGUAGAGAGCGUUGGCAGCAGUGGGGGUUUGCUAUUGUUCUGGCGAAAUCCCAUUGUCUUGCAAGUCCGUGGAAGCACAAAGAACUUUAUUAAUGUGUCGGUGGAAACAGCGGGAGAGGAGGAAUGGAGAUUUACUGGAUUUUAUGGUGAACCACGGUGGGAGGACAAACAUCUCUCCUGGGGUUAUUUGAGAGGUUUAUAUCAGCAAGACCGUCUCCCUUGGGUUGUGGCUGGUGAUUUCAAUGAGAUCUUGUACUCGCAUGAGAAGGAGGGUGGAGCCCCACGUCCUAUGAGCAUGAUGCAGAACUUCAGUGAGGCCUUGGUUGAUUGUGAACUCGAGGAUAUGGGGUACUCGGAUGACCAAUUUACUUGGAGAAGGUGGAGACUAAGGGAGAGGCUAGACCGGGCUGUUUGCAAUGGACAAUUCCACUCCAUGUUCCCGUAUGCCAAGGUCACCAAUGCGGAGCACACCAAGUUUGAUCAUCGACCUAUUCUAUUAGAUACAGAGGGCGAUGUGGUCAGAGAUAACUUCAGAGCAAGGAUCAAGCAGUUCGAGGCCAGGUGGCUCAGAGAAGAUGAUGUCGAACGGAUUGUAUCGGAGGCAUGGGAACCAGUCCUGGUUCAUCACUUGCGGAUCGCACUGCUGCAGUGCACGCGGAGAUGCAUAUCUGGGAUCGUGAGAUCCUCAAGGCGCCACACAAGCGGCUGAAGGAACUCAAGGCGGAGCUUGAAAAGCUGCGGUUGGGCCCUCUUACUGAUGAGGCGGCAGACCAGCUACGUGUCGUUCUUAUAGAAAUUGACGAAAACUUAGAAAAGGAGGAGAUAUACUGGGUGCAACGGAGUAGAGCCAAUUGGCUUAAAUUUGGAGAUAGGAAUACAAAUUUCUUCAACAACUUUGCUACAACAUGUAAGAAGAGGAACCACAUUAGGCGCUUGUUGGAUGAUAGUGGGAAUUGGGUAGAAGAUAAGGAAGCAACGGGAACACUGAUAACAGAAUACUUUCAUCACCUGUUUUCUUCGGAAGUUAAUGUACCACAUGCAGAUGUAUUGAAUAAAGUAAAACUGUCUCGGGUUAUAUGAAUGAUUCCCUGUUAGCUCCAUAUACUGCAGAAGAGGUGAGGAGAGCUCUCUUCUCUAUAGGAGACUUAAAAGCACCGGGGCCGGACGGACUUCAUGCGAUAUUCUAUAAGAAGUUUUGGCCAAUUUUGGGGGAGGACCUGGUGCGAGAGGUCUUGCAAGCAGUAAACAGUGGCAUUAUUCCUGAAGGUUGGAACACUACAACCAUCGUCCUCAUUCCGAAGGUAGAUAAUGCAGAGAAGAUCACACAAUUUAGACCAAUAAGUUUGUGUAACGUGGUUUACAAGGUAAUUUCGAAGAUGCUUGCCUCUCAGUUGAAAUUGUUGCUUCCAGAUAUUAUUAGUGAAACUCAAAGCGCUUUUGUUCCUGGACGGAUUAUAACUGAUAAUGUCAUAGUGGCGUACGAGUGUUUGCAUACAAUGAAUAAGAGGAAGAAGGGAAAAGCGGGAACAUGUGAAGUGAAACUUAACAUGCAUAAAGCUUACGAUAGGGUCGAGUGGGUGUUCUCGGAAGCAAUAUUAACUAAGCUAGGUUUUGAUCCUAGAUGGGUCAAGCUGAUCAUGGCGUGCGUUACAUCAGCGGAAUAUAAAGUUCCGUUCAACUCCAAUGAAACGUUGCCCUUCUCACCUACGAGGGGCCUUAGACAGGGUGAUCCCCUGUCGCCGUACUUGUUUUUGCUCUGUGCUGAAGGCUUAUCAGCACUGAUAGCCCAUGAGGAGGCAGCGGGGAACUUAAAUGGUGUCAAGGUCUGUCGAGACUCCCCCAUUUUUUCCCACUUACUUUUUGCUGACGAUUCCCUUGUCUUGAUGAAGGCACAUCAGCAGAAUGCUCACACGUUAAGAUCAAUAUUGGAUGAUUAAUGUGCGGCAUCGGGCCAAUUGGUGAGCAAGGCAAAAUGCUCUAUCUUUUUCAAUCCUAAUACAGAGGUGGAAGUUAAGGUGGAGGUAUGCCAAAUUCUAAUAUAAUGACAUAGUCUUUAUCGGAUAAAUACUUGGUCUUACCUCCAUGAUUGGGGUUGACAAGGUAACAUGAUUUAAACAUCUGAUAGAGAGGAUUAAGAUGUUGGUGAACGGAUGGAAGGAGUGAACACUUUAUUUUGGUGGAAAAGAGGCUUUGAUUAAAGCGGUGGCCCAAGCCAUUCCAACAUAUGAGUGUAUUUAAAUUCCCGAAAAAAAUCUGUAAGGGGAUCACUGAUGCAAUGUCGCAAUAUUGGUGGGGUGACGAAGAAAACCAUAAAAGGAUGCAUUGGUUUGCUUGGUGGAAGAUGUGUGUGCCAAAGGAAAGAGGGGGUAUGGGUUUCCGGGACAUUCAUAGUUUUAAUAUGGCCAUGUUGACUAAACAAUGCUGGAGACUCAUUGAGAAUUAUGACUCACUUUGUGCAAGAGUCUUAAGGGCAAGAUACUAUCCUUCUGGGGAUAUUUUGAACUGCGAAUUGAAGAAGAAGGGUUCAUCCUUUGUGUGGCAAAGUAUUUGGGCAUGAAUACAAACAUUAAAAAAAGGGUGCAUUUGGAGAGUUGGAGAUGGUACAAAGAUAGACAUAUGGAGUGAUUGUUGGAUUCCCAGCAGUGCAUCGUCCGCGGGAACCAAUUGCUCACUAAGGUCAGUGACCUCAUCGACCCCUCCUCGGGUGAGUGGGAUGAACAGUUGAUAAGGGAUACUUUCUGGCCUAUAGAUGCUGAUCGGAUACUGGAAAUCCCUUUGUUUCGGCAACAUACAGAGGAUUAUAUAGCAUGGCAUUUAAGUAAGAACGGUAUUUUCACGGUACGCUCAGCGUGUUAUAAACAUUGGGAAGCGAUUUAUGUCCAGGAAGAUUUGAUGGGGAGCCACCAUUCUGGUUCUAGGCCACAUCCAGUAUGGAAGAAGGUCUGGAAGCUCAAACUGCCAGGAAAGAUCAAGAUCUUUAUUUGGAGGUGCUUGCACAAUGUGCUACCAUGCUUCAGCGUUCUAACCAAUCGGCAUAUCGGUAGUAUCUCCCAAUGUCCUAUUUGCAAGGUGGGGGUGGAAGAUAUACGUCAUGCAGUUUUUUCAUGUCCACGUGCUCUAGCAGUUUGGGAAGCUUUGGGCGUUGGCAAGCUUAUCAGGGACGCCAUGUGGAUAGACCGCUCUGGAGUAGGGAUAAUAGAGUAUCUUCUCUGUGAUGAAGCUCAUCAGCGUAUGUACUCAGACCCAAUUGAACUGCCAGAGAUAAUUGCUGGAACUUGCUGGUACAAUUGGUGGCAGCGGAGACAAUUUGUGCAUGGAGAAACUGUUUCCUCGCCGGAACAAACAACAAUGUCGAUACGGGCUCUAAGCCUAAAUUUCGUCUGGGCAGCAGGAAAACCAAAGGAGAGACCUCGAGUGAAUAAGUGGCCUGUUGUUUUGUCCAGCCAACAAGUUCUAAAUGUUGAUGCAUCGUUUCAUGUUGAAGAUCAUACAGGCGGGUGUGGAGCAGUAGUGAGAGACAGCCGUGGAAAAUUCAUCGGGGCGUCUACAACUAACCUCAUGCAAAUUCCGGAUGUCAUCUCGGCGGAAGCUGCAGCUUUGAUGGAAGGCCUAAAGCUCCUCCAAAGCCUAGGAUGCAACAAUGUGAUGCUGAGAAUGGAUAAUAUUGUGGUGGUUGAUGCCCUACGGAUGAACGAAGGUCAUGCUAUGGUGGCAGCCCCAAUAUUAGAAGAGUGUAGAUUCUUGCUACGAGAGUUCGGGAAGGUAACUAUUGAGCAUUGUAAUCGAGAGUCAAAUAUAGUCGCUCAUGAGCUAGCUAACUGGGGAAGGACAAAUUCUCCCUCUGUGUGGGUGGAUGUACCCCCUGAGUUUAUUAUUAAAUCCCUAGCAAACGAUGUAAGUGUGAUUGAUUAAUAAAGCUAGCCGUGAAGGUCUUCCCGUUAAUUUUUUUUUGCAUCCCUCGCCCAAAAAACCCAUGCAUACCCCGCUGAUACAUAAUCUUAUGCAUGCCAGCGAAUUAAAAGACAAAACAGAUGAUGUCACUAAAAAUUCUUCCUAUUUUGAAACUUUAAAAUAUUUUCUAGUUCAAACCAUCGCUCCGAUUCAAAAUCUGUUUACACAUAAAAAAUUCAUCACAACAAGAUCUUCGAAACUAGAUCCCGUGUUGGUAUGUCUUGACGACACCUUUUUCACGUAAAAAAAAACCAUGUGACUAUGUAAACUAUCACGCCUACAACACGUAACUUAUCUUGGUGUUUACACUAAAGUUUAUGUUUCAACUACUUUUUUUGCCUAGGUCAAAUCUACCAUGUCAUUCGUGGUAAAUUAUCAGGUCUACAAUACCACCGUCUACCAUCGGUGUCGUGCUUGGGCUGCGAGGUGAGGUCUAUGUACCGACAUGGCAUGACCCACUUGUGAAACAGAACUUUGUGGGUCAUGCCGGGUCAGGCCAGUUUAGGAGUGUGUCGGUCCGAUGCAGUGUCUGAGCUAGCCUAUUGGCCACGUAUGUGAGGUGCGUGGUGCGUAAAGUACCAUGACAUUUACGUUGAAGUUACCGAGGGUAUGCUUUUCAACUUCUUUUCCUCAGAUCAAAAUUACUACGGUGUUUGCAUGUCAAUUAUCAUGUCUAUAGUCGAAUUACCAUGUUAUUUACACAAAAGUCAUAGAGAUUAUGUUUUUCUGCAGAAAAAACUAAUCAAAGUUAUCGCCGUGUCUGCAUGAGUUGUCAGCUCUGUUGUGUGUAUACUACCAUGCUAUUUACACACUUUUAUCCGGAGUAAGAAAGUAAUGGCGUUGUUUGUACGUGAGUUAUCAGCUCUGUUAUGCGUAUAUAACCAUACUAUUUGCACAUAAGUUAUAGGGGUAUGUUUUUCAAUAACUUUUUCCAGGGCAAAAGUUACCACGGUGUUUAUACGUGAAUUAUCAGCUCUACUAUGCAUAUAUUACCAUACAAUUUACACAUAAGUUACCGUGGUAUAUUUUCGAACAACUUCGUCUCGGGGUCAAAAGUUAUUGCGGUGUUUGUAUGUAAGUUAUCAGCUUUAUUGUAUGUAUAUUAUCGUGCUAUUUACACAGAGAUGGGUAUGCUUUUCAAUAAUCUUCAUCUUGGAGUCAAAAUUUAUCCGCGUGUUUAUACGUGAGUUAUUCAUAUAUCACCAUGUUAUUUACACAGAAGUUAACGGGGUGUGUUUUUUACAAAAAAUAUCUCUCGAGGCAAAAUUAUCGUGAUGUUUGUACGUAAUUUAUCACGUCUGCGGCAAGUAAAUUACCAUGCCAUUUGUACAGAAAUUAUCAUGAUAUGUUUGAACAAGUUUUUUCCCAUGGAUAAAUAGUUAUCAAUGUGUUUGUAUGUAAGUUAUUAAGUCUACGAUGCGUAAAUUAUUAUGCUAUUUAUAGAGAAGUUAUCGGAAUCUUAGAUGAUGUGCGAUGGAACUUGAGCGCAUAGUUUUAAAAUCAUACUGGUGAGGUUGCCGGCUCAGUUUUCCAAUGCCCCCCCGACUCACUUCCCUAAUUUUCGGUUUAAUCUCAUAUGGAGAAGUUACAAGUACUGUGUAAACUUUUCGUAAACAAAAUAAUUAGUUAGCUCGGUUGGUUGUUACUUUGAGAAUCCAUUAUGAGAUCGUGUGUUCGAUUCACCGCUAUGCACCAAGUUUUUGAUUUUCUUUCUCUUAGUUGGGAAAGAGAUCAACAUUAAUUGCGCUUAAAAUAGGAGGGAAAGAGAAUUGUGUGCAUUAAUUCCGUUUAAAAUGGAAAAUAAAUCAGUGUUAAUUCAGUUUAAAACGAGAAAGAAAUCGACAUUAAUUACGCCGCACAAAAAUGGGAAAUGAAAAAUAAAUCUGAAAAAAUUGUAGUCAAUGCGGCGAGAAAAAACGUGCGGAUUAGCGGGUGGCGCAAAAAAAAGACGAUUGCGGGAUCUAAACCACGGCGAGCAUCUCUAGCACGAGACGCGAAUCGAACGGUACAUGGGUACGUUUGGAUCUUUUGCAUAUUUCCGAUCGUUCGGAAAUUAGAUUUCUUGUUUCUUUUCACAACUAGAACAAUGCCCGUGCGUUGCAACAUGAUAUAAAUAUUCUAGUACUUUAGCUUGUGAUUUACCUGUCAAUAAUAAUGUGAUUGUGUAAAUAAAUGUUCAUCAAAUUCUGCCCGUGAAUUAACUUAUAUUUUAAUUAGAAGUUUGGUAAGUAAAUUAAACUGGAAUUGGUUUAGAAGGUAAGUAAAUUAAGAUGACUGAUUAUUAUAUACAUGAAGGUUGGACGAGGGGUGGGGGAAGAAAGAUGAAAUGGGAACCUUACGUUCUUUUUAAGUAGUAUAAUAAAGAUAAUACGUAUAUCUUGUUUUUUACACCCACCCCCAUAAUAUUUGUGCGAUUCAUGAGCUACUUCGGAUCUUUGGGGUCACAUGAGGUAUGGCAACCACCUUCUUGAAGAGCUUGGCCACUCCAAUCUAAUGUUGCACAAACGACAUCUAGGCCAUCCGAGACGGACUUAUGUGCCCGGUCACGGAGUUCCCCAUCCCCUACCUCGUGACCCCCUCUCCGUCUGCAGGCUCCAUUCAUCAGCCCUGCAACCGCUCGUGGAUCUUCUCAAGAGCCAGCUGCCUCCUGGGAAGGCGGCGCUGCUUGGCAGGGAUGGGCACCUACUCCUUGUCCGCCACGUCUUCAGCACCAUCCCGCUACACACCCUCAUGGCCAUCUCCAUAUGGACGCGACGACCCUUAAGAAGAUGGAUCGAGUCUGGCUCAAUUAUCUCUGGUAUGGCCACAAGGAUGCCAAUGGUGGUCACUCCGCCGUGAAAUGGCACCACACGUGUCGACCACUGCACCUCGAAGGGCUCGACAUCCUUGACCUCCACCUCAUGGGCAUCACAUUACGUGCACCUUGGUUGUCGCUGCAAAAACACCAACUCAUCAUGGCCAUGCAAUGAACUACCAGUCAACCAUUCCACUGACGUGCACACAACCUUUCGCGCAAGUUCCACUUGACAGGUCGACGAUGGGAUGACAUGCUUAUUCUGGGAGGACCAUUGGAUUUUAGGCCAGUUUGUUAUUGGCAACAACCCUUCCGUCGUCGCAUUGAUGCCUCGUCGCCGAUGCAAGUGGUGCAUGAUUUCCAAGGGUUUGCACCUUCAAUCCUGGGUCCAUGACAUCCACGGCGUGCUAGGACCCACCGCUCUCAUGGAAUAUGUGGAGCUAUGGCGACGGCUUCGACACAUCGACCUCACUAGUGAAUCAGACACCAUCUCCUACAAGAUGUGCACCAGUAGAUAGUACUAUCACUAAAAAAAAA
This 16521-nucleotide long non-coding RNA is filed under the name Triticum aestivum (bread wheat). Its description in RNAcentral is "long non-coding RNA (TAES_LNC008573)". The record is from RNAcentral. Lineage: Eukaryota; Viridiplantae; Streptophyta; Magnoliopsida; Poales; Poaceae.